UACGUAGGGUGCGAGCGUUAAUCGGAAUUACUGGGCGUAAAGGGCGCGUAGGCGGCCCUCUAAGUCGAACGUGAAAUCCCCGGGCUCAACCCGGGAACUGCGUCCGAUACUGGAGGGCUCGAAUCCGGGAGAGGGAUGUGGAAUUCCAGGUGUAGCGGUGAAAUGCGUAGAUAUCUGGAGGAACACCGGUGGCGAAGGCGGCAUCCUGGACCGGUAUUGACGCUGAGGCGCGAAAGCCAGGGGAGCAAACGGG
This 253-nucleotide ribosomal RNA is filed under the name uncultured bacterium. RNAcentral's name for it is "partial 16S ribosomal RNA". It matches the Rfam family "Bacterial small subunit ribosomal RNA", at positions 524 to 776 of the family's 1533-position model. The record is from RNAcentral.